ACCGGGCGGGGGGGCCUAUACAUGCAAGUCGAGCGCAGGAAGCAGGCAGAUCCCCUUCGGGGGUGAUGCCUGUGGAAUGAGCGGCGGACGGGUGAGUAACACGUGGGCAACCUGCCUGUAAGAUCGGAAUAACUCCGGGAAACCGGGGCUAAUGCCGGGUAAUCCUUUUUUUCGCAUGAGAGAGAGGUAAAAGAUGGCCUUUGGCUAUCACUUACAGAUGGGCCCGCGGCGCAUUAGCUAGUUGGUGAGGUAAUAGCUCACCAAGGCGACGAUGCGUAGCCGACCUGAGAGGGUGAUCGGCCACACUGGGACUGAGACACGGCCCAGACUCCUACGGGAGGCAGCAGUAGGGAAUCUUCCGCAAUGGACGAAAGUCUGACGGAGCAACGCCGCGUGAACGAUGAAGGUCUUCGGAUCGUAAAGUUCUGUUGUUAGGGAAGAACAAGUACCGUGCGAAUAGAGCGGUACCUUGACGGUACCUAACGAGGAAGCCCCGGCUAACUACGUGCCAGCAGCCGCGGUAAUACGUAGGGGGCAAGCGUUGUCCGGAAUUAUUGGGCGUAAAGCGCGCGCAGGCGGUUUCUUAAGUCUGAUGUGAAAGCCCACGGCUCAACCGUGGAGGGUCAUUGGAAACUGGGGAACUUGAGGACAGAAGAGGAGAGUGGAAUUCCACGUGUAGCGGUGAAAUGCGUAGAUAUGUGGAGGAACACCAGUGGCGAAGGCGACUCUCUGGUCUGUUUCUGACGCUGAGGUGCGAAAGCGUGGGUAGCAAACAGGAUUAGAUACCCUGGUAGUCCACG
RNAcentral lists this ribosomal RNA (800 nucleotides) under Halobacillus sp. JSM 101061. Its description in RNAcentral is "bacterial SSU rRNA". It matches the Rfam family "Bacterial small subunit ribosomal RNA", at positions 33 to 799 of the family's 1533-position model. The record is from RNAcentral. Lineage: Bacteria; Bacillati; Bacillota; Bacilli; Caryophanales; Bacillaceae.